AGUGAACGCUGGCGGCAGGCCUAACACAUGCAAGUCGAACGGCAGCACAGUAAGAGCUUGCUCUUAUGGGUGGCGAGUGGCGGACGGGUGAGGAAUACAUCGGAAUCUACCUUUUGGUGGGGGAUAACGUAGGGAAACUUACGCUAAUACCGCAUACGCCCUUCGGGGGAAAGCCGGGGACCUUUUAGGCCUGGCGCUGAUAGAUGAGCCGAUGUCGGAUUAGCUGGUUGGUGAGGUAAUGGCUCACCAAGGCGACGAUCCGUAGCUGGUCUGAGAGGAUGAUCAGCCACACUGGAACUGAGACACGGUCCAGACUCCUACGGGAGGCAGCAGUGGGGAAUAUUGGACAAUGGGCGCAAGCCUGAUCCAGCCAUACCGCGUGGGUGAAGAAGGCCUUCGGGUUGUAAAGCCCUUUUGUUGGGAAAGAAAAGCAUUCGGUUAAUACCCGGGUGUUCUGACGGUACCCAAAGAAUAAGCACCGGCUAACUUCGUGCCAGCCGCCGCCGUA
Molecule: ribosomal RNA, 508 nt
Filed under: uncultured bacterium
Lineage: Bacteria
Description: bacterial SSU rRNA
Rfam family: Bacterial small subunit ribosomal RNA
Source: RNAcentral